Hemicordylus capensis (graceful crag lizard) is the source of this 1444-nucleotide long non-coding RNA. RefSeq lists it as uncharacterized. NCBI's taxonomy places the organism in Eukaryota, Metazoa, Chordata, Lepidosauria, Squamata, Cordylidae. The record is from RefSeq and is a predicted model, not a curated record. The transcript is spliced from 7 exons.
GAUUGCUGGCUUCUGCUGGUAGCAGGGAGGAAGUAGGGAGGUUUGGGGGCCAGGAGGGCCCCUUAGCUUCCAUGAUGCAUUAUGGACUCCUGACACUGGUCGGGAGGCUACUUGUGUGUAGGUGCCGUGCGAAGCUGUGCAAAGUGUACAGUCUACACAGGUGAAGAUCUGUACACAGAUAGUACAGCUAAGCACAUCACACAUCCAAGGAAUGUAGCGCCCUUUCCAACAGUGUUUCUGGGUUUUGAAAGAAGAUUUGACUUCUUCCAGUUGACAUUGAUGCCCGGGUCCUGUAGAAGCUGUAACACAAACUGGAGCUGCAAAUGUAACUUUUCUUUGUCACUGCUGACCAAAAGCCAAUCGUCUAAAGAUAGGAAGAUCACGAUGCCCUCUGAAACUGGAGUUGUAUGGUGCUGACCUCCCUUUGAUGAAGUUGUGCAAUCAACUACUAGGGAGUUUGGUACAGGAUGGCAUACCAGAAGUGGCAGGAAGGCUCUCAUCACUUUGAAGACAGCCAGCAGUUCUAGAAAACUUAUAUGUAACUGUGCCUGUUGAAGGGUCCGCUUGACCUGAAUCCAAUGUCCCCCACAGUGGGCGCCCCAGCCCCGCAGAGAAGUUUCUGUUGUUAACCAGACAGGAGAAGUCAGCAUCUGAAAAGGAACUCCUUCCAACAGAUUCCUGUCAUUCAACCAGCGGGCAUAUCUCACCACUGGACGCCAUGGGUCUUUGAAUGAGUUGAGCCGGCUGAGAUGGAUGCUGUUGGAAACUGAGAACCAGGUCCCUGAUGCACUUGAAGUGCUCAAGAUGAACUCACAAUAAAAAACUUUUACCGAUGAGGCGUGACAGCCCAAGGACUCAAUGCAAUGACAGUCAGAAAAAAACUGAAGAACACGGUGGCAGGGCUUGGUCACCUCAACGAGCUGCAGCAUUCUACUGUGAGGGUCCUGAGCAGGCACAGUACUCAUUCUUAUGGAUCUCAACAGAUCUCGAUCCAGAUUGUGUGCUUUACUACUGAGAUACAGGCCCUUCCCAAGCACACCAUGCAACAAACAAGACUUUUGCCAUAAUUUAAGUAUACUCUCAAGGAGGGCAACCCACAUACUUAGUGAUUUUCAGCUGGGCAGCCAAAUGUGCAUAUGAUGUUGCACUAGUAAAUAUGUUCCAAGGAUGCAUGGCUUCUUGUUUGCAUAAGAACUUGUUUAAUAGAGUUAUCCCACUUUAUCCUUAAAACCAUCCCAUGAGGUAACUUUAGGCUGAAAGACAGUGACUUUCCAAAGCCACCCAGAAAACUCCAUGGAUAAGCAGAAUCUGAAUUUGUAUCUCCCUGGUUCCACUCUGGCACCCUAUUCAUUACAUCAGAGUGUAUCUCUGCCAAUACAUAGCGGAGGCCUUCUGGAUACGAAAACCAGACACUUACAGGUGAAACUCGGAAAAUUAGAAUAUU